This is a long non-coding RNA of Oreochromis niloticus (Nile tilapia), 254 nucleotides long. RefSeq lists it as uncharacterized. The record is from RefSeq and is a predicted model, not a curated record. NCBI's taxonomy places the organism in Eukaryota, Metazoa, Chordata, Actinopteri, Cichliformes, Cichlidae. The transcript is spliced from 3 exons.
UCCAGCUCUAUUUGUGCUUUGAAUAACCCUCCUCCACAGUUCCCACAAUGCACCUGCAUCCUGUCUGAUCGUACACUUCCUGUUGAUGGUCUGCAUGUCGCAGUGAAAUUUAGACUUGGUUCAACACAACUGUCAGAACAGCUGAGGUUGACCAACUGCUCUGACAUCAGUGGACCACCAAGUUCAGUCUUGUGUCAGCAGUGCAUCAAAGCUGGUUGUAGAUGGAACACAAACAGAUGUUCCUGGGCCGAUCA